GGCCGGUGAUGCUAGAAAAUAUUUGCUACUCUUGAUGGCAAUCGCCCAUUUGAUGAGUCUCUUCCACCAAGAUCUCUGAGGCU
This is a non-coding RNA of Glycine max (soybean), 83 nucleotides long. Lineage: Eukaryota; Viridiplantae; Streptophyta; Magnoliopsida; Fabales; Fabaceae. The record is from Rfam.